This is a non-coding RNA of Lolium perenne, 3515 nucleotides long. Lineage: Eukaryota; Viridiplantae; Streptophyta; Magnoliopsida; Poales; Poaceae. The record is from RefSeq and is a predicted model, not a curated record.
UGUACAGUUGGUUCCCGGCACCGCUUUGACCCGGAUUUUCUCUCCCCACUCAUCCUUCUUCUCGUGUCGAGAGCUCUCUGGAAUCUGGAAAACUCAUGCCUCUAUCUCUCCCAAUCCCUCCGGUUUACUUCCCAUAUCUCAUCUAAUUGGCCUCUUCACAAUAAUGCAGUGCUCCAUCGGGUCGUGACCGGCGACACGAGGAACGGCUGCCGGCGGAAGAGAUGCGGCUGUCUAUGUCGGGAAUGCAGCGGCCGGCGGCCGGCGAUCGGAAAGGAUGACAUGGCCAGCGGCGAGAUAUUGCUGGUCGGCGUCGCUGCUCUCUAUUGCCUCCCCAGAGUAGACGGGGUGGACAGAGCGGAGGGGAGCAGCAAUACUAGAGCUCCUCAGUGGUGGGCGGCCAUGGUGAGGCUCGGCUCCUGCUCCGGUGUAGCGGUCGGCUGCCCCCUCGGCGCUGCUACUCUGGCUGAUGGCGAAGUGGCGAACUGCUAUGGCUGACGGCGGCCACAAGUAGGAUUUUUCACUGGCCGGGCUCUCCCGUGCCGUAAGGUACCCCUGGCAUAAGUCAGCCGUGCGGUUUGGUCUUGGCCACGCCAAGUCCUGGUGCUCGCCGGCCGAGCGGCCAGAUUGAAUUAGGCGAUGUGCCUCACCAUCGUGAUUCCCGCAUCAUCCGGCGUAUGCGCGUCUUGCCCUCUUCGAAGAAGUCCUGGUCGUCGUGCUAGAGCACUCCGCACGGCGUCACCGGCGAGCUCUCUGUCAUGGAGGGUGCCAUCGGAAUUCGGAAGAUGUCCAUCACCGAUCUCCGCGUCGACUCGGCUAUAGGCGGCCUUCGUGCACCACUACAAGUCGGCAGCAUCCUGUAGAGGAAGGCAACGACGGGCGACCUAAGGAGGUUCGUCCUCAUCUUAUUUUUCCUAGAUGCCAUCUCCGUCAGACCUCGCCGGUUCCCUCCGCUGUGGGGGCGGGUCGUGGUGCGCGUGGACGCCGCCGCGGAUGGCUGUGAGUACCCCGGAUAGCCGCGGACGGUUGGGCCAAGCUCACGGACUCCGGCUGUGAGGAUCGUGGAAGGGCUCAUGACACGCCGCCGUUAAUGGCGCCCGAGGAGGCAACGCAGGGAGGAGCAAGGCGACCCGCAUCAAGUUUUGGAUUUGACGGCCCGCGGUACAACGAAAGGGAGAUUAACUGUCAGCGUCCCUGUCCACCAUCACGGCGGCGCCCCUCCUCCUGCUUCUCCCUCCUGAGCGGUGCAUGGACUCUUGAUGCCAGGUUGAGGGACACUCCGGUUGGUAGGGUGAGCAUGCCCAUUCUCCAUUUGGAACAGGGAUUCCCGAGUAAUAUAUAGCCCUGGUUCAUGAAGUGUGCUCAUAUAGAGGACAUGAACAUACCUUUGUCAAAUAAGGUGAUAGAGCCUGAACUUUGACUACUCGAUAAUUUUUUUGCUGCUCUACUUUUCUCUCUACAGAGAAAGAACCAAGGUUUGGAUAGGUAAUUAGUCUCUUGAACCAACAUAUUUUGUUUUGAGAGUAAUAAGUAGGAGUAACAUCCAUGAACAUACCUCUGUCAAAUAAGGUGAUAGAGCCUGAACUUUUGACUACUCGAUCAUUUUUUGCUGCUCUAAUUUUCUCUCUUCGGAGAAAGAACCAAGGUUUGGACAGGUAAUUAGUCUCUUGAACCAACAUAUUUUUGUUUUGAGAGUAAUAAGUAGGAGUAACAUCACAAGGGUGACCUAAUUUUCUUAUUAGGUACAGCCUGAUAAAUAUGUGAUACUGAUUUAUUUUGUAGCCUGGCUCUAGCUUUGUAGUUUGCCUAACGUUGAUUGUUGUAAAAUUGAAUCAAGCAGUUGGGUGGCGUGUCCAAAAUUUCCUGUCUUCUCUUUCUUCGGUAAGACAAAAUUGUUGUCCAGGAGAUCUCCCCAUACAUGGGUUUGUGAGAAGGUAAUCAGUAGAGGAGCUGUCAGUUUGGUUCAUCUUGCAAGACAAUCACUCUUUCCGUUAUUCCUAUGGUACUCUCUGAUUCUUUAUUUUCUUAGUGACAAUAGGCAUGCUCUUAAAGGUGGAAGACAUGUAUGGUUACUCCUGAAUAUUAUUUUUGGGUUCAUUUCUGCAGUCUAAAUGAUUAUCACAUUGUUUGCGUAAAGUAUUCUCCACAAAGGUGCAUUAGGCAAGAAUAUAAAUGCAAUCCUGCAUACUCUUUAUGAUUCCUUUGUUUUUGAACUAAUUGUGUUUUAUUUAUGUUGUUCAAUUCAAAUGUUUGAGAAGUUGUUCCCAGUAUUCAAUAGCAUUUUCUUUAAUUAUUGAUGUUUCAAGUUCUAUAUAUUAGUGUUCCUAUAUUAGGCAGAUAGAUUUUCUCUGUUAAGGAACUAGGCUGUAGAUCUUCUCACUCCAUAUUCUGCCUAAGAUUAGAGUUUAAGUUUGCUUAUGUAAAUGCCAAAUUUUAGAUAGAUUAUAAGUUUUCAGAUUAUUUAUUUUUCCCAGUACUAUACAUGUACCGUCUCUGCUUGAUAUGAAGGCCACUCUUCUUCAACCAUCAAUAGUUGUACCACUACUCAAGGAAAUGCAUCCACUUACUUUUUUUAGUUGAAAAUAAAUGAUUGUUAGCAUCCACCAAUGGAAGUUGAGCUUUACCAUUGGAUAGUACUAUUACUAUAUUCUUCACACUUCUUUGCAGCUGCCAGUUUAGUUAUCACUGAAUCUGUAAUAGACACUUAUUGGUAUCUGUUGUUAUCGUCAAAUUUUUCAUAGAUUUUUCCGAAACAUUGCAUUGCUCCAUUGUUAUUUUUACCACCUGACCCUCUAGACCACGGACUGCGCCAGGCAGGUCUUACAAACAUCAAAUCACUACAAAGAGGAACUGCGUGUGUGCUUCUAACUUUGUUCAAUUCACUGUUAAUUUCAGGUUUUACAAGUUGGAGCGGCGCAUGACGAGGACAAGCUAGAAGAAACACCGGCCAAGGACUAGAGAAAAGAAGCAAUGGCACAAUAAGAGCUCCAUUGAGGAUGAAGUACGUUUCGCACCUCCAAUCCCUCUGCAGAGGACCUGACAACUACUCUGGAGCUGGCCCAAUGCAUAUCAAGUUUCUACCCCUCCAUCCUUCCCAGAUCGAUUCACCAGUCUCGGUGUUUGCAUCAUGGCGACUAGAUCGGCGGUGGCAAAUCGCCAUGGACUAUCUUGGACACUAGAAGGAUAUCAAGGCCAAGACUCGAUCCUCCAGUGACGGCACCACGAGCAAGGAAGGCGAAGAUGCAGAGCGCAAUCUGAGUUUCUCCUGGCUUUCCACGUUGAAGAGCUCCACUUGGAAACGACCAGCAAGUGCAGAAGGGAAGAAAAGAAAGACUAGGGGCUCGUUUGGUUGCAAGGGACCCAGGAACCAGGGAACUACUUCCCCCAACGCGAAUAUCCCUGCGCGCUCGGGAACCCCAGGUUUCCCCUCCCGCUCGGGAGAAUCAAAGUUUGCUAUUUGGACAACACACGCAGGGAACGGACGGGAACAGGAGGAAAGAUGCGAAAUUCGAAAAUAA